GCCCGGAUGGCUCAGUCGGUAGAGCAUCAGACUUUUAAUCUGAGGGUCCAGGGUUCAAUGUUCCUGUUCAGGGCG
Triplophysa dalaica is the source of this 75-nucleotide non-coding RNA. The record is from the annotation of a RefSeq genome assembly. NCBI's taxonomy places the organism in Eukaryota, Metazoa, Chordata, Actinopteri, Cypriniformes, Nemacheilidae.